GAGAGAGAGAGAGAGAGAAGGGUAUUUACAUGAAAGUUACAACUCUCUUGCAUAGUUCCCAAACUUUAUAUAUGAUUUAUUUUUGACAAAUUAACUGUUGGAUUUAAUCUCUAUUCAUCUAGAUGAUGCAUAUAGAAUUUUAAGUCAACAGAUGGAUUUAUGUACUUUUUUUAUUGGCAUAAAUAUUUAAUGUUUAAAUUUUACUUGAUAUAUUUAUGAAUAAAAUUACCAAAAUAAAUAAUAUUUGAUAAAAUUUGAAAUGCAUAAUCUACAUAAAACGUGCAUCAAAUGCAUUGCUCAAUUAUUAAAUGUUCAAAAAGUCUCUGUUAUUAAAAUUUGUAUAUUUGUGUAAAACGGAUCCCUUUCCUAUAUGUGUGUGUGCACGUAUGCACGCGUGUAUAAUGAUAAAAAUACCUUGGUUAACAGUUAGGAUAUAGAUAUGAAAAAUAUUAGUUUGAUUUAGCCACUCAGAGAAGCAAAUCUUGCUUAUUGGUCUUUUUUGUCAAUUAUUUCUUCCCGUGAAGAAUAAGAUUGUUGUUGGCCUUGGACUGAAGGAAUAUUAAGUUACCCAUCUCUUGUGCAGUUCGAUAUGAUCUUCGGCA
RNAcentral lists this unclassified non-coding RNA (602 nucleotides) under Hevea brasiliensis (rubber tree). Lineage: Eukaryota; Viridiplantae; Streptophyta; Magnoliopsida; Malpighiales; Euphorbiaceae. The record is from RNAcentral.